This 1061-nucleotide long non-coding RNA is filed under the name Chrysemys picta bellii (western painted turtle). RNAcentral's name for it is "lncRNA (ENSCPBG00000018651.1)". Lineage: Eukaryota; Metazoa; Chordata; Testudines; Emydidae. The record is from RNAcentral.
AAGAAUUGAACUCACAACCCUGGGUUUAGCAGGCCAAUGAUCAAACCACUGAGCUAUCCCUCCCCCUGCAGUGACAUGAGAUAGAGCCAGGUGGAGGAGAGUGUGGGAGAUGCAGCUCUGGGAAAGUGCAGCAUUUGUACAGCUGAUGUGGAGAACUUGGAACUCAUUACACAGGGGACAGAGAGACAGGAAAUAUCCUUGUCGGGUGAAGCCAUCACUGAAAUGUAAAGAGUGUAAAUAACAUGAGAAGAGGGUGAGCAAGAGUGAGUGGGGGGUGGGCAGGGUGGCCAGGGGGUUAGCAAUUCCCGGGAUGAGGCUGGGCAGAGGUGGGAAGGAAAUGGGGAUUUUCAACAGGCCUGUGUAGCCCUGAAGUCAGGCCCACCUAGUCACCAAGGCUACAGGAAGGGGAAGACCCUCAUAGCCCAGCAGGGAACCCUCCCCCUCCCCAUCUACCAGUGUCCUGUGUUGGCAUUAAAGACACUUAAACAUGAUCAUGGCCUCGCUCGUCCCACCCACACCAGGGGACUUUUUGAUUCCUCUGCAAUCCACAAAACUGCCUGGGCUCCUACGUUACUGUUGUAAAAGUUCCUUUGAUGCCUAAGAGCAGGUGCCCUGCUGCCUAGCUCUAGCUGCUCAGACGCUUAUCUCGUGCUGAAGCUCCAAGCCGAUCCUCAAAUUGAGGGAAGAUGGGUGCUCCUCUGCAUCUGCUGCCUGAUCCAGGAGGUGUUCUCUGAGGAUGCCUAACAAAGUGGGAGGAGAACUUUCACCCAGGGGUUAGGUUGCACAUCUGGUAUGUAAGAGAACCUGGUUCAAUUCUCCCCUCUGGGGAGGUGAAGGGAUCCGUAUAGGGGUCUCUCACCUCUCCGGUGACUACACCAACCACUGGAUUAUAGAGUUAUUCUUAUGCUUUAUCAGAUCUGGUUAAUAUUCAGUUAUUUAAUGAAACGGAAACAAUUUCUACAAGAGAGACCACAUCAAGUGGGUAUUGCUACACAAUUCCUAGUACCUCUAUGCAUUCUGCAAUAUAUAUUGUGAACUAAUAAAGAUAAUUUUAUUCUCCA